AGUGAAGCGGCAAAAGCUCAAAUUUGAAAUCUGGCUCUUUCAGAGUCCGAGUUGUAAUUUGAAGAAGGUAUCUUUGGGUCUGGCUCUUGUCUAUGUUUCUUGGAACAGAACGUCACAGAGGGUGAGAAUCCCGUGCGAUGAGAUGAUCCAGGCCUAUGUAAAGUUCCUUCGAAGAGUCGAGUUGUUUGGGAAUGCAGCUCUAAGUGGGUGGUAAAUUCCAUCUAAAGCUAAAUAUUGGCGAGAGACCGAUAGCGAACAAGUACAGUGAUGGAAAGAUGAAAAGAACUUUGAAAAGAGAGUGAAAAAGUACGUGAAAUUGUUGAAAGGGAAGGGCUUGAGAUCAGACUUGGUAUUUUGUAUGUUACUUCUUCGGGGGUGGCCUCUACAGUUUAUCGGGCCAGCAUCAGUUUGGGCGGUAGGAGAAUUGCGUUGGAAUGUGGCACGGCUUUGGUUGUGUGUUAUAGCCUUCGUCGAUACUGCCAGCCUAGACUGAGGACUGCGGUUUAUACCUAGGAUGUUGGCAUAAUGAUCUUAAGUCGCCCGUCUUGAAACACGGACC
RNAcentral lists this ribosomal RNA (559 nucleotides) under Candida tropicalis. RNAcentral's name for it is "eukaryotic LSU rRNA". It matches the Rfam family "Eukaryotic large subunit ribosomal RNA", at positions 92 to 667 of the family's 3401-position model. Lineage: Eukaryota; Fungi; Ascomycota; Pichiomycetes; Serinales; Debaryomycetaceae. The record is from RNAcentral.